GAGGCUGUAGCUUAGUCUGGUAUGAGCGCUGGUCUUAUAAGCCAGUGGUCGGGGGUUCAAAUCCCCCCAGCCUCA
This 75-nucleotide transfer RNA is filed under the name Nanobdellota archaeon. RNAcentral's name for it is "tRNA-Ile". It matches the Rfam family "tRNA". Rfam says of the family: Transfer RNA (tRNA) molecules are approximately 80 nucleotides in length. Their secondary structure includes four short double-helical elements and three loops (D, anti-codon, and T loops). Further hydrogen bonds mediate the characteristic L-shaped molecular structure. tRNAs have two regions of fundamental functional importance: the anti-codon, which is responsible for specific mRNA codon recognition, and the 3' end, to which the tRNAs corresponding amino acid is attached (by aminoacyl-tRNA synthetases). tRNAs cope with the degeneracy of the genetic code in two manners: having more than one tRNA (with a specific anti-codon) for a particular amino acid; and 'wobble' base-pairing, i.e. permitting non-standard base-pairing at the 3rd anti-codon position. The record is from RNAcentral. Lineage: Archaea; Nanobdellati; Nanobdellota.